UACGUAGGGGGCGAGCGUUGUCCGGAUUUAUUGGGCGUAAAGAGCUCGUAGGCGGUUUGGUAAGUCGGGUGUGAAAUCUCCACGCUCAACGUGGAGGGGCCACUCGAUACUGCCAUGACUCGAGUCCGGUAGAGGAGUGUGGAAUUCCCGGUGUAGCGGUGAAAUGCGCAGAUAUCAGGAGGAACACCAAUGGCGAAGGCAGCACUCUGGGACGUGACUGACGCUGAGACGCGAAAGCGUGGGGAGCAAACAGG
This 254-nucleotide ribosomal RNA is filed under the name uncultured bacterium. RNAcentral's name for it is "partial 16S ribosomal RNA". It matches the Rfam family "Bacterial small subunit ribosomal RNA", at positions 524 to 776 of the family's 1533-position model. The record is from RNAcentral.